Molecule: ribosomal RNA, 660 nt
Filed under: Lepiota sp. MFU0900035
Lineage: Eukaryota; Fungi; Basidiomycota; Agaricomycetes; Agaricales; Agaricaceae
Also listed under: 1 other name
Description: eukaryotic LSU rRNA
Rfam family: 5.8S ribosomal RNA (bases 269-422)
Source: RNAcentral
GUGAACCUGCGGAAGGAUCAUUAUUGAAUAAAUAUGGUGGGUUGUAGCUGGCUUCAUGAAGCAUGUGCACACUCACUGUCUUUAUUUAUCCCUCUGUGCAUCAUUUGUAGUCCUGGAGAGCAAGUAGCUCAGCUCCCGUGUUGGAAGGGAAGUGAUUCCUUUUCAAGCGAGUAUUGGGUGUCUGAUCCAGGUCUAUGUAUUUUCAUAAACAAUGUAGUAUGUCGCAGAAUGUAGUCAAUGGGGUCAUUGUCCCCACAGAUCUAUAUACAACUUUCAGCAACGGAUCUCUUGGCUCUCGCAUCGAUGAAGAACGCAGCGAAAUGCGAUAAGUAAUGUGAAUUGCAGAAUUCAGUGAAUCAUCGAAUCUUUGAACGCACCUUGCGCUUCUUGGUAUUCCGAGGAGCAUGCCUGUUUGAGUGUCAUUAAAUUCUCAAUCCUCUCCAGUUGUUUUAUUGACUGGUUGUGGCUUGGAAAUUGGGGGUUUCUGCAGGCCUAUAAUUCGGGUCAGCUCCCCUGAAAUAUAUUAGCGGAACCGUCUGCGGUCUGUUACUGGCGUGAUAAUUAUCUGCACUAAGACUGCUUUCCGUUUUGUUCAGCUUCUAAUUGUCUUUUCACGGACAACAAUUUGAUCAUUUGACCUCAAAUCAGGCAGGACUGCCC